UACGGGGGGGGCAAGCGUUGUUCGGAAUUACUGGGCGUAAAGGGCUUGUAGGUGGCCAACUAAGUCAGACGUGAAAUCCCUCGGCUUAACCGGGGAACUGCGGCUGAUACUGGAUGGCUUGAGUUUGGGAGAGGGAUGCGGAAUUCCAGGUGUAGCGGUGAAAUGCGUAGAUAUCUGGAGGAACACCGGUGGCGAAGGCGGCAUCCUGGACCAAUACUGACACUGAAAAGCGAAAGCCAGGGGAGCAAACGGG
RNAcentral lists this ribosomal RNA (253 nucleotides) under uncultured bacterium. RNAcentral's name for it is "partial 16S ribosomal RNA". It matches the Rfam family "Bacterial small subunit ribosomal RNA", at positions 524 to 776 of the family's 1533-position model. The record is from RNAcentral.